Molecule: long non-coding RNA, 1864 nt
Organism: Castor canadensis (American beaver)
Lineage: Eukaryota; Metazoa; Chordata; Mammalia; Rodentia; Castoridae
Source: Ensembl
GACUUUGGAUAUCUCUGAUCUCACCUUUACCUGAACCAUCAACACCGAGGCACUUACAGUUUCAAAAAUGAAAGUCAGGCCGUAAUGGUAAAUAUGCAUACCGAAUUGGGGUAACUUUGUGGCUACAAGGAAUCCUAGAGAGCCUUAAAUUCGGCAUGUUCCUGACAUUUGCUGGAGAAGAACUAAUGACUUGUUAUUUCUCUGAAAUCUUAGAGUCGUGAGACAGGGAAGGGGGGAAAUCAUCUUGAUGGUGACAUACCUAAGGUCAGGGGACAUAAGCCAUCCUGUCAGAAUCUCAUCCUAGGGGAAGGAGAUUGCUGUGUCUCUGCUUGCUGAGUUUUUGACAUUCUGAUUUAAGAACUCGUGUGUGUGCGUGUGUGUGUGUGUGUGUGUGUGUGUGAGAGAGAGAGAGAGAGAGAGAGAGACAGAGAGAGAGAGAGAGAGAGAGAGAGAGAGAGAGAGAGAGAGAUCAUACAGCAGGAUGUUUCUCUAUUCUGAGACUUCAGCUAAUGUUAAUUGAGGCCACAGAAGCUGCCUAACUCAGUGGGAAUCUUGUUUUUAUAAUUACAGGGUUAGGCAUCUUACAUUGAGUUUCUACUACCACCCUUCCUACUCAAGCAAAAUCUUUGUGAAAAGAUCCGCUGCAAAGGAACUGACUGCUUAUGGUUCUUCAUUGUGAUGAAAGCACAUGGUACAGGUUUGCUGUAGAAGAUGUGUUAUGACCCAUCCCAUGAAUACCUUCAAAGGAUGCAGAGGACCCUUUGAAGGUAAAUUUAUCUUUGAAUGCAUAAAAUGGACAAUAUACAACACACUGCUCCUCACUUCAUGGAGAAAGCAGUUGCCAACUGAGUUGGGAAAAGCAAAACCUCUGUCCCUAUAAGAAGUUCAUUGCUAGAUCAAGCAGCAUCUCACCAGCAUCUGAAUUGUACCAUCCAAAAAAGAUUUGUGAAAAGUAGCUCAGUUCAUAUUCCAUGAUAUAGCAGCUCCCUGGCACAAGCUGUCAAGAGGCUCUCUCUGAUCUUGUCCAGUGCUGAAACUUAAGAUCUGGGUUCUUAUCUCCCAAUGUUGAUUCUUUUCCACACAGUCAAAAUAGAACAGUAGAACAUUGUUUUAACAGCAUGACCCCCACCAAAAAUUGUCACUCUUCCUAAAAGUUGCAUAAGCUAAACUAGGGAUGAAACAAUUAUGGAACAUGUGUGGAAGGGAGUGUGCCAAGAGCUCAGUGAUUUCAUGUCAUUUCCUGUGGACUCAGGAUUCACAAAUCAAACUUCGUUUCUCUACUUUGUCUUUUCCACUUUUGUCUCUGUGAUUUUUCAGUAGGUACCUGAUUGGGUAUUUCUCUGCUGCCUCAGUGUGUCCUGUCUUCCUUUGCUGCUCCCUGCUAGGCCCCCCUCUACCUCCAUCCUGCUGAUGGGAACCAUGUUGGGAGUACUCAGAAAACAUUAGCUGCAUUUGUAGCUAGAGGAGGAAUUGCUUCCAAACCCUCUGCGAUUGUGGGGAUAGACGCAUUCCCCCAGCCUCCCUCAAAAGUGGUAUUUUCCUGAAGUGUUGCAGGUUACUGUUAGAGGUGUGGCACAGUUUUCUUAUUGGAGGACAGGGACAUGUUAUAUAAUUCACAAACCAUAUCACAUAGGCUUUACAUAAUUGACUUCUCUCUGAGAAGAAAAUUAGACUAGAAAUAAUGACAUUGCAGAAACAUUCCCACUUUUGGUACCUUCUAAAUAUGCUGUAAGUCCUGAUUUUCUUUUCGUAGGUUUUGAACUUGUCAAUGACUGAAUUUCUAGGGCUAUUCAAGACUCUACGAUGUUCAGUUUGCCACUAUCUGUAUUGUUAAGUAAUUCCAUGAUGAUUGGGCAGAACAGGG